Molecule: ribosomal RNA, 253 nt
Filed under: uncultured bacterium
Lineage: Bacteria
Description: partial 16S ribosomal RNA
Rfam family: Bacterial small subunit ribosomal RNA
Source: RNAcentral
AGUAAUACAUAAGUAACCUGCCCUANACAGGGGAUAACUAUUGGAAACGAUAGCUAAGACCGCAUAGGUACGGACACUGCAUGGUGACCGUAUUAAAAGUGCCUCAAAGCACUGGUAGAGGAUGGACUUAUGGCGCAUUAGCUGGUUGGCGGGGUAACGGCCCACCAAGGCGACGAUGCGUAGCCGACCUGAGAGGGUGACCGGCCACACUGGGACUGAGACACGGCCCCAGACUCCUACGGGAGGCAGCAUG